RNAcentral lists this ribosomal RNA (505 nucleotides) under uncultured bacterium. RNAcentral's name for it is "partial 16S ribosomal RNA". It matches the Rfam family "Bacterial small subunit ribosomal RNA", at positions 28 to 507 of the family's 1533-position model. The record is from RNAcentral.
GACGAACGCUGGCGGCGUGCCUAAUACAUGCAAGUAGAACGCACAGUUUAUACCGUAGCUUGCUACACCAUAGACUGUGAGUUGCGAACGGGUGAGUAACGCGUAGGUAACCUGCCUGGUAGCGGGGGAUAACUAUUGGAAACGAUAGCUAAUACCGCAUAAUAUUGAUUAUUGCAUGAUAAUUAAUUGAAAGGUGCAAUUGCACCACUACCAGAUGGACCUGCGUUGUAUUAGCUAGUAGGUGAGGUAACGGCUCACCUAGGCGACGAUACAUAGCCGACCUGAGAGGGUGAACGGCCACACUUGGACUGAGACACGGCCCAGACUCCUACGGGAGGCAGCAGUAGGGAAUCUUCGGCAAUGGACGGAAGUCUGACCGAGCAACGCCGCGUGAGUGAAGAAGGUUUUCGGAUCGUAAAGCUCUGUUGUAAGAGAAGAACGGGUGUGAGAGUGGAAAGUUCACACUGUGACGGUAGCUUACCAGAAAGGGACGGCUAACUACGUG